Empidonax traillii (willow flycatcher) is the source of this 1276-nucleotide long non-coding RNA. RefSeq lists it as uncharacterized. The record is from RefSeq and is a predicted model, not a curated record. NCBI's taxonomy places the organism in Eukaryota, Metazoa, Chordata, Aves, Passeriformes, Tyrannidae. The transcript is spliced from 3 exons.
UUUCCUGUGACACACAACCCACACCCCUGACCCUGCUCUCCCACGGUGGAGGCUUUUCCAACUAAGUUAAUAUAGACUAGUAAGAGAAGGUUUACAAAUGAAAGUCAGCUAAACAAAUAUACAAAAAAAAAAAGGGAUUAAAAAAUUUGCCUAAAGCAGCUUUGUAAAGAAGAGCUGAAAUCAUGUCAUCCUUUCAAGAAGUUCCAACAACCAAGGUCAAGCAAGACAGGGGACUGUUUUCAUGUCCAAGGCACAUCUUCCCAAAAAAGACUGAAAUCUGCCUCAGGAACAAGAACAGUGCCCAGCCAUCCUGCUCCUGGUCUUUUGUUGUGAAGUGAAGCUUUGACAUAUAAAUAAAACUAUACUUGAACACAUGUAAUUUCAGGCCAAAUAUGGGUAUGACAAAUCCAUUUGCUGGGCAAGCUGAGUGAAUAAUGAUGGUUAAUUAUUGAUCUGUCAUGAGGUACUCAGAAUACGAAAUAUCAUACAGAAUUAAUUGAAGGAAUUUAAAAACAAAUUUCAAAACAAAAGAACUUGAAAUAUGAACAAGGCAACUCGUGUAGUCACACGCAGUACAGAAAUACAGAUCAGUGGAAAACAUUCUGAACUCUAAUGAAUAUUUGGGCUUUAAAAUGCCUGGCAAGGGAAAUAAUCCUUUACAGAUUGGUAAAAAUAUGCAAGGACUGUUCCAGUUUUCCUGUUAAAAACAACAAUGAGCAAUUAGUGGUGGCAGGCUGCUGCAGACUGGAGCUGCUGCUUUCUCUGGUUCAAGCAGAAGUACUGUGAUAGUCCAGGCAGGCAGGGAGCUAUGGGGAGAUGCAGUUGGAAGGGAUAGAGACAGAAGAACUCUUUUUCUGGGUGAUGAGGAGCCAGAGACAGGGAAAAGAGGUGGGAGCCAAGAGUUCAGAACAAGUAAUGAAACAAAAGGUCAACAUGAAAAACUCUACAUGAUCUUCUCGCUUCACAUCACGCAGCAAUAAAAGAUGGAAGCAGCAGCAUAGUGCAACAUGGGUGUAGUCUGUGAAACAGCACAGCACAGUUGGAACACAGGGUCUGCUUGAUUUCUGACAGCCUAAAUGGAUGCAAUAUCUUUCUCUGCCUGUCCUCUUCCCUGCAGUGAAAAUAGAGAGACCCUGGGUCACCUCGGUAGACUCAAUACUUGCAUGGAUGAGCAGCAAUGUUUUAAAAGUUGCCAGUCUCUCAAAAACCAUCCCUAAAAUUUUGAUUUCUGGUGCUGCAAGGAUGUACUUAAGAUCAAAACUGUGAAGGUACAAAA